This is a non-coding RNA of Coturnix japonica (Japanese quail), 142 nucleotides long. NCBI's taxonomy places the organism in Eukaryota, Metazoa, Chordata, Aves, Galliformes, Phasianidae. The record is from RefSeq and is a predicted model, not a curated record.
AUGGGGUUAUUAACCCAUUAACCCUUUCCUUUCCUCUCCUAUAGAGAUCAAAGUGGAGUACGUCCCCAAACAAGAGCCCCCCAAGAUCCACCUGGACUGCUCAGGCCAGUCGUCAGAGAACACCAUCGUGGUGGUGGCCGGG